This 875-nucleotide long non-coding RNA is filed under the name Oreochromis niloticus (Nile tilapia). RNAcentral's name for it is "lncRNA (ENSONIG00000034087.1)". Lineage: Eukaryota; Metazoa; Chordata; Actinopteri; Cichliformes; Cichlidae. The record is from RNAcentral.
AGUAAAUACCAAGAGGUGUCCAUUUUUCCAAAUACUCACCUCAAAAACCACGUUUCUUUUUUUCUGCUAAACUUGGUUUCAUUUUGUCUUCUCUAUGUGGUCAGUAAUAGUAAUAUAUAUAUUUUAAAAGUACCGCAAAGUUUCUCUUCAAAUAAACUUUGGUUCUUGAACCUUGUGUCUUGUAGAAAGCCCAAUCUCAAGGUUCUACGUUCUCCACGAUCAUGUUGACCGGUUUGCCAGAAGGAAACUACAGACAGGAGGAUGUCACCAAGCUGGUGUGGCGUUACUUCCCUGAUCAGACGGUUCAGACUCUGUACUACAACAUAAUCGUUUUAUCACUGCAGAGGAGGGUGAGGAGUAGACCCAGCAGGCUGAUACAGAGAAAUUUGCAUUUGCAAAUUUAAUUCAAUUUAAUGAUUAAUAUUGAAUGUUUCCUCUGCAUCAUUUUUCCCCUCCAGGCCUUUGUGUUUUUAACAGCUGGGAUGCGUGCUGCGAUUUCGCCAGAGAUUACCUCAAAAAUCCAGUUACUGUUGGAGAGUGGACGCUCAGAAUCCACAUUGUUUUACAAGACAUGCUUCCUGGUUCAAGUGAGGAGAGCAUGUAUAGAAGCAUGAUGAAAUGGAGCAACACUCAUGUUCCAGAGUCUGAGGCUCUGGAGGACCGGCUGCUGAGUGUGGAGGUCUCCGAGGUGAAUGUGGACCUUCUCAUGAUGAUCAUGGAAGCGGUGGCGUCCAUUGCUGCUUUUGUCAGAUUCUGCCGCUUGCCAACAGGAUAUGCAUUGAGAUGGCCGAACCUGGUGGAUUAACACAGGUGAUGGAGAGCAAUGUCACCAAGGACUAUUUAUCUUCUUGGAGUAAAGCUGGACGUAUUGAGUC